This 299-nucleotide unclassified non-coding RNA is filed under the name plant metagenome. RNAcentral's name for it is "partial contains 5.8S ribosomal RNA, internal transcribed spacer 2, and large subunit ribosomal RNA". The stretch from base 1 to 105 matches the Rfam family "5.8S ribosomal RNA", at positions 50 to 154 of the family's 154-position model. The record is from RNAcentral.
GAAAUGCGAUAAGUAAUGUGAACUGCAGAAUUCAGUGAAUCAUCGAAUCUUUGAACGCACAUUGCGCUCGCCAGUAUUCUGGUGAGCAUGCCUGUUCGAGCGUCAUUUCAACCAUCAAGCUCUGCUUGCGUUGGGGAUCCGCGGCUGCCCGCGGUCCCUCAAAAACAGUGGCGGGCUCGCUAGUCACACCGAGCGUAGUAACUCUACAUCGCUAUGGUCGUGCGGCGGGUUCUUGCCGUAAAACCCCCAAUUUCUAAGGUUGACCUCGGAUCAGGUAGGAAUACCCGCUGAACUUAAGC